RNAcentral lists this long non-coding RNA (77 nucleotides) under Amphimedon queenslandica. RNAcentral's name for it is "uncharacterized LOC109580731". The record is from RNAcentral. Lineage: Eukaryota; Metazoa; Porifera; Demospongiae; Haplosclerida; Niphatidae.
AGAAAGAAGGAAGGCCCUUAGACUUGGAACAGUUUCGGCCAGCUCUUAAAAGACAGCUGGAACUAAUAGAAGAAGGA